Molecule: ribosomal RNA, 460 nt
Filed under: uncultured bacterium
Lineage: Bacteria
Description: partial 16S ribosomal RNA
Rfam family: Bacterial small subunit ribosomal RNA
Source: RNAcentral
ACUACGGGGGGCAGCAGUGAGGAAUAUUGGUCAAUGGGCGGAAGCCUGAACCAGCCAAGUAGCGUGCAGGAUGACGGCCCUACGGGUUGUAAACUGCUUUUAUACGGGAAUAACGCGCCUUACGUGUAGGGCUUUGCAUGUACCGUAUGAAUAAGGACCGGCUAAUUCCGUGCCAGCAGCCGCGGUAAUACGGAAGGUCCGGGCGUUAGCCGGAUUUAUUGGGUUUAAAGGGAGCGUAGGCCGCAUGUCAAGCGUGCGGUGAAAUGUCCGGGCUCAACCCGGGCCUUGCAGCGCGAACCGGCGUGCUUGAGUCCGCGGAAAGCAGGCGGAAUUCGUCGUGUAGCGGUGACAUGCUUAGAUAUGACGAAGAACCCCGAUUGCGAAGGCAGCUUGCUGCAGCGGAACUGACGCUGAUGCUCGAAAGCGCGGGUAUCGAACAGGAUUAGAUACCCCGGUAGUC